This 465-nucleotide ribosomal RNA is filed under the name uncultured bacterium. RNAcentral's name for it is "partial 16S ribosomal RNA". It matches the Rfam family "Bacterial small subunit ribosomal RNA", at positions 28 to 507 of the family's 1533-position model. The record is from RNAcentral.
GACGAACGCUGGCGGCGUGCUUAACACAUGCAAGUCGAACGGAAAGGCCCCUUUUUGGGUACUCGAGUGGCGAACGGGUGAGUAACACUUGCGUAACCUGCCCUUGUCUUCCGGUUUACUUCAGGUAACUGGGUCUAAUACCGGUUAGGAAUCCUUUCUGCAUGGUUGGGGUUGGAAAGCUUCUGCGGUUUUGGAUGGACUCGCGGCUUAUCCGCUUGUUUGUGGGGUAGUGGCUUACCAAGGCUUUGACGGGUAGCCGGCCUGAGAGGGCGACCGGCCAAAAUGGGACUGAGAGACGGCCCAGACACCUAAGGGAGGAAGAAGAGGGGAAUAUUGCAAAAGGGGGGGAAGCCGGAUGCAGAAAAGCCGGGUGCGGGAAGACGGCCUUCGGGUUGAAAAACGCUUUCAGCAGGGGAGAAGCUUGUGGUGACGGUACCUGAAGAAGAAGCACCGGCUAACUACGUG